RNAcentral lists this microRNA precursor (164 nucleotides) under Oryza brachyantha (malo sina). RNAcentral describes it as "MIR812 microRNA precursor family". It matches the Rfam family "MIR812 microRNA precursor family", at positions 27 to 189 of the family's 205-position model. Lineage: Eukaryota; Viridiplantae; Streptophyta; Magnoliopsida; Poales; Poaceae. The record is from Rfam by way of RNAcentral.
UUUAAUUUUUGACUCUUCAUCUUAUUUAAAUUUUUUUUGCGAUUGAUAUUUUUGUUUUUAUUAGAUAAUAAAUCACGAAUAGUACUUUACGUGUAACUAAUUUUUCUCUAAUUUUCUAAAAAAAUUUAAAUAAGACAGAUGGUCAAAAGUUGGACACGGAAACC